GAGCUCCUGCUAUAGACGGAUUCGAGGAUAUGUUCAGCCGCCUAAUGAGCAUUUUGGGCCACUUGAUGAAGAUUACAACACUGAAUAAGUUUGUCGAGGUGGAACGCUAUGUCUUGGCUGAGACAAUCCAAAUUGUUAAAGACCUGUAUUCCAAAUGAACUCCACUUCUGAGAUGCACGAUGUAGAUGUAGAUAUUUGUUGUGGAACUAUCUUCUUUAGUACCAACAACUGAAGCACUUUUCCUGAACCUUAAAUUUAUAUGGUCAUCUAAAGUUAUGUUUUCCUA
Non-coding RNA from Salvia hispanica, 286 nucleotides. The record is from RefSeq and is a predicted model, not a curated record. NCBI's taxonomy places the organism in Eukaryota, Viridiplantae, Streptophyta, Magnoliopsida, Lamiales, Lamiaceae.